This 460-nucleotide ribosomal RNA is filed under the name uncultured bacterium. RNAcentral describes it as "partial 16S ribosomal RNA". It matches the Rfam family "Bacterial small subunit ribosomal RNA", at positions 338 to 795 of the family's 1533-position model. The record is from RNAcentral.
CCUACGGGAGGCAGCAGUGAGGAAUAUUGGUCAAUGGGCGCGAGCCUGAACCAGCCAAGUAGCGUGAAGGAUGACUGCCCUACGGGUUGUCAACUUCUUUUAUCAAGGAAUAAAGUGAGGCACGUGUGCCUUUUUGUAUGUACUUUAUGAAUAAGGAUCGGCUAACUCCGUGCCAGCAGCCGCGGUAAUACGGAGGAUCCGCGCGUUAUCCGGAUUUAUUGGGUUUAAAGGGUGCGGAGAUGGGUUGUUAAGUCAGUUGUGAAAGUUUGCGGGUCAACCGUAAAAUCGCAAUUGAAACUGGCAGUCUUGAGUACAGGUGAGGUAGGCGGAAUGCGUGGUGUAGCGGUGAAAUGCUUAGAUAUCACGCAGAACUCCGAUUGCGAAGGCAGCUUACUAAACUGCCACUGACAUUGAUGCUCGAAAGUGUGGGUAUCAAACAGGAUUAGAUACCCGAGUAGUC